AGCGGAAUGUUUUAUGCGGCCUGCUGACACCUACAGCAGACAUGCCUAUAGUCCCGCAUUAUGCGGAAACGGCCCGCAAAAUCAUCAAAAAAGCUCACAUGUUCCGCCGUUCCGCAUUCACGAUUUUUUGUUCCGCCAAGUCUGAAUUCCGACACUAAAAAAAAAUUGCCAUUUUAUCAUUAUUUAUUAAUAGUGCGAAUUGAAAAUACUGAGUGCAAAAUAAAAUAUAUAUAGGUCUGUGUUUAUUGUUUACAUUUCAUCUACUUCCGGACCCGGUGUGUCCUAAAUUUACGAAGAAAUGGUUGAAGACUAGAUCUAGAUCUAGUUCUAGACAUAGAUCUCUAGAUCUACUGAUCUAGUAGUCUAGGUCUAGAUAUUAGAAUUAGAUCUAUUCUUAGAAUCUACCUCCGAGAAUGAAAUCAGCUCAGCCUUGAGUUGGACGACAUGCUUUAACACUUUUCCCCUGGAGAGCCAACAAACGUUGGUGUGAUACAGGAGACAUUAGUAGUCUGAAUCCAUUGCUUCACAAAGCUCUGAGGAAAGUCAGAAUGCAAGCGGUCGAGAUUUGAGGAAGUUUACAACUUCAAUCACUUGAUCCAGAACAGACAUCAAAUAUUUGAAGGCAAGAGCUUCUCUGUGGAUCAUGCAGUGAACAACUAAUACAUUUGGAUUUUCUUGACGCACAUGAGUGAAGAAUCCCUUUCUAUUUCCCUGCAUGGAAGGACAGCCAUCGGUGCAAACGCUGACACAGUUUGUCUCCACUGUACUUUGAAUAGCAAAAUGUUUUCGUUCACCACUUAAAAAUCUUCGCCUUUGGUCGUAGUUGGUGGCGAUUUUAUUGUUUACCAUGGAGUUGUCUACUUUUCAAAUUUUACUGACCAAGUUUUUUACAGUGACUGAUCCAUCAGCAGUUUCCGAAGCAGUAACUGAUAUCUCAAAAAAAUAUCGCUUUUCUGAUGGUGUCUAGUCACCUCAGAGGAUCAACAGGAUUUGUUCAUUGAAAGACACUUGAAGGUGUAGGCAGUUAAAGCAAAAGGACUUCUUGCAAUGUUUGUUUCAAGGACCAGACACAACAGAAUUUGACAACAUAUGUAUUGGAAGCUCAAAAUCAGAAACUGAAAUCUGCCCAUGUGGAGUGUCACCAGAGAAUGUUGACCAUCUUCUCCAAAACUGCUCUCUUUACCAAGAGGCUGUACAUGACACUGGCCCCAAAACACCCCAAUAGAAAGAAAACUAUAUGGAGAGUUCCCUGAUUUGGAAACGCUGUGAAAAUAAUCUCAUAUACUGGUCCAGUCAUCUGAAUGCUCCAAUAAAAAAAUGAGAAGGAAGAAGAAAGAAGAUUGGGAGCAACAUGGCUAUUGAAAAGCAGAGACCAUACAAACCUCAUUAGAUGAAGAGUUUUAUUUUGUUGGUAAAGUCCUUGGUUUUGAGCCAGCAGAGAAACAUAGAAAGCUCUGUUUUGACAAUAUAUAAAGAGUGACUUUAGCUCAACUCCUCACCAAGCUUUACAGUCUGUGACAUUUUUUUGGUAAAACUUUGAAUCAGAUUUAUGUGUGUAUACUUCAUUAUGUUAACUACAUUGAUCAAGAAUACUCAAUUCAUAAAAAGAAGCUGCUUUAAAGGAUUAAAGAUAACUUUGACCCUUUUGAGAAAACAAAUUUAAACACAAGAUUUUGAAUUAAUUUUGUAAUUCUUUUAUAUUUUUUUUUCUUCUGAAAGCCACAUAACGACACAAGUAUUUAUUCAAGGUUUUGAAUGUAUGGUAUACUGUUAGGUUUAGUAUUGACUCAUUCAGUAAAUUGUUUUUGUUUUGUGGUUUUUAUAAAUUAAUAAAUGGAAGUUUAUAUAAUGUGUUAUGUUUAAAUGUAUGAUUUUUUUUUACUGAUCUAAAGAAAGAAACUUGAGGAUUUUAAUUUUUAUUCUUUUUGAAACAUGUAAGGAAUAUUAGAACAUUGGUUGGCAACAUUAUUAGUGUCAAAAUGUAUUUCACUUGGUAGCCAAGAAUGCUUCUAACUGAGAUGACAUCACUACCUGUGGUUAACAAGGGUGCCAUGUUGUCAGCACAAUGACCAACCCCCUUUACUUUUUCCUAACUCAUAUAAUAAUAAUAAUAAUAAUAAUCUUUAUUAUCCUUAAGGAAAUUUGUCUUACAAUUUGUGCAUUACACCAAACAAAAAACAUUAUAACUAUAAGAAACCAAAAUGUACAUUCACACCAGACUCACUCAUAAUUUACAUGUGACAAAGUUUAUGCCAGAUUGUUCUUAUUUAAUGAUUUGAUUGCCAGGGGAACAAAAGAGUGUUUGUGUCUGUUUGUCUUUGCUAUCGGUGUCUUGUAUCUCUUUUGUGAUGGUAAAAUCACAAAAUCCUGACACAAAGGGUGAUUCUUUAUUUCGAGGAUCUUGUUAGCUUUUUUAUAGAUGUUUGUCUCAAACAACUGCCCAAAUGGGGUUUGUUUUUUGCCAAUGAUUUUGCCAGCAGCAUUUAGGAUUCUAUGAAGUUACCCAUUAGAGCUGGGUGGACUUGAAGGCACCAUAAAGAUCCCAAAAUUAAAAUACCCAUCUUCACUAGGAUUUGAACCCAGGGUCCUUCUGUUUGGAAGUCAAGUGCUUUACCACUCAGCCACAUGCCUCCGUUAAAGGCUAGAUUUUGUGACAAUUAUUUUUAGGAGAGAGAAUGAUGUAUGCACAAAGUUGUAGUUUUUUUUAUUUUUAUUAAAUUUAUUUGUAUUUAACCACUGACUUAUUAGUCUCUGAAUUGUCAAAUUUAAGUUUGUAAUCAGUUAGUGUUGACCUUGGCUUGAUAGGCUAAAAGGAUUAACAAUAAUAAUAAUAAUAAUUAUAGCUUGUAUGUAGUGCUACUUUCAUGCUUACAGCAUGCUCAGAGUGCUGUGUUCCAAUCUUAUGUGUGAACCAGUAGGGGGGGGGGAUUUGGGAGAGGGUUUUCCGUGCUGCCUUCGGGUACUCAGUAAACAGAACUCUGCUUGAGUCGUGUGUUGAACCUAGAGUCACCUUGAUAGGUAGCCGAGCCAAGCCAAGUUCAAGCAUACUUAGCCUCUUGACCACGCCUCCACAUUGAAAUUAAAUUGUAAAUGUUAAAUAUUUUAAAAAAUUUAAUACAGAAUUUGAUAUUUAUGAAAUAUUUAAUACAGAAUUUGAUAUUGAUGAAAAAUUUAAUACAGAAUUUGAUAUUGAUGAAAAAUUUAAAAAACAGAAUUUGAUAUUGAUUACAAAAAAUAAUACAGAAUUUGAUAUUGAUACCUGAUACCAUUUCAUUUGUGUGUGUGUGUGUGUGUUUCCAAUAAUAAAAAAAUAACAAAAAAUAAUACAGAAUUUGAUAUUGAUACCAUUUCAUUUGUGUGUGUGUGUGUUUCCAAUAAUAUUUCUAUGAAUGUACAAUUUAUUCUCUAGAUAAAGAUUCAUUUUCUGUUUUGUAAGGCAGCUCUCAAUCCUCAGUGUUAUGAACAUAAUGAUAACUGAGUCGAAAACCAUGUCGUCUUAGUAUGGCUUUAAUACACUGAAUGACUACACAACACACAUUUUGUGAACACAUUCUUACGGACGAGUUACAAUCACAUGUAAACAUAAGAACCAAAACCAAUACAGCAUAUAAUUUUCAUAAGUGAAAUUCUAAAUUUACUGAACUAAACAGACU
Biomphalaria glabrata is the source of this 3653-nucleotide long non-coding RNA. RefSeq lists it as uncharacterized. The transcript is spliced from 7 exons. The record is from RefSeq and is a predicted model, not a curated record. Lineage: Eukaryota; Metazoa; Mollusca; Gastropoda; Planorbidae.